RNAcentral lists this ribosomal RNA (232 nucleotides) under uncultured bacterium. RNAcentral describes it as "partial 16S ribosomal RNA". It matches the Rfam family "Bacterial small subunit ribosomal RNA", at positions 333 to 557 of the family's 1533-position model. The record is from RNAcentral.
CUAUCCCUACGGGAGGCAGCAGUAGGGAAUCUUCCACAAUGGACGAAAGUCUGAUGGAGCAACGCCGCGUGAGUGAAGAAGGGUUUCGGCUCGUAAAGCUCUGUUGGUAGUGAAGAAAGAUAGAGGUAGUAACUGGCCUUUAUUUGACGGUAAUUACUUAGAAAGUCACGGCUAACUACGUGCCAGCAGCCGCGGUAAUACGUAGGUGGCAAGCGGUGUCCGGAUUUAUUGG